GAACACAUAAAGUAGCAAAACAUUUCACAUGCAUUAUUACUUUUGAACACCAUUUUGACACUCAGUCAAAGAUUCAUUUCCUUGAAAAAAGGUUGGGGCGCCCUUAUUAGGUCAAAUACGGUAAUUGGCAAAUAUAUGGAUUCAUGAUGUGAACCUCACUUAAAUUUGUUUUUUAAGUCUUGUAAUGCUUUAACAUAUAAGUCACCCUAUAUUGGCUCUAGUCUCUGAAGGGUUGGAUUUGUGAAACAUCACUCUAUAUUGACUCUAGUCUGUUAAGGGUUGGAUUGGUGAAACAUCACUCCAUAUUGACUCUAGUCUGUUAAGGGUUGGAUUGGUGAAACAUCACCCUAUAUUGGCUCUAGUCUGUUAAGGAUUGGUGAAAUAUCACUCUAUAUUGACUCUAGUCUGUUAAGGGUUGGAUUGGUGAAAUAUCACUCUAUAUUGGCUCUAGUCUGUUAAGGGUUGGAUUGGUGAAAUAUCACUCUAUAUUGACUCUAGUCUGUUAAGGGUUGGAUUGGUGAAACAUCACUCUAUAUUGACUCUAGUCUGUUAAGGGUUGGAUUGGUGAAAUAUCACUCUAUAUUGACUCUAGUCUGUUAAGGGUUGGAUUGGUGAAACAUCACUCUAUAUUGACUCUAGUCUGUUAAGGGUUGGAUUGGUGAAAUAUCACUCUAUAUUGACUCUAGUCUGUUAAGGGUUGGAUUGGUGAAAUAUCACUCUAUAUUGGCUCUAGUCUGUUAAGGGUUGGAUUGGUGAAAUAUCACCCUAUAUUGACUCUAGUCUGUUAAGGGUUGGAUUGGUGAAAUAUCACUCUAUAUUGACUCUAGUCUGUUAAGGGUUGGAUUGGUGAAAUAUCACUCUAUAUUGACUCUAGUCUGUUAAGGGUUGGAUUGGUGAAAUAUCACUCUAUAUUGGCUCUAGUCUGUUAAGGGUUGGAUUGGUGAAAUAUCACUCUAUAUUGGCUCUAGUCUGUUAAGGGUUGGAUUGGUGAAAUAUCACCCUAUAUUGGCUCUAGUCUGUUAAGGGUUGGAUUGGUGUAAUAUCACUCUAUAUUGGCUCUAGUCUGUUAAGGGUUGGAUUGGUGAAACAUCACCCUAUAUUGGCUCUAGUCUGUUAAGGGUUGGAUUGGUGAAACAUCACUCUAUAUUGGCUCUAGUCUGUUAAGGGUUGGUGAAAUAUCACUCUAUAUAGGCUCUAGUCUGUUAAGGGUUGGAUUGGUGAAAUAUCACCCUAUAUUGGCUCUAGUCUGUUAAGGGUUGGAUUGGUGAAAUAUCACUCUAUAUUGGCUCUAGUCUGUUAAGGGUUGGAUUGGUGAAAUAUCACUCUAUAUUGGCUCUAGUCUGUUAAGGGUUGGAUUGGUGAAACAUCACCCUAUAUUGGCUCUAGUCUGUUAAGGGUUGGUGAAAUAUCACUCUAUAUUGGCUCUAGUCUGUUAAGGGUUGGAUUGGUGAAAUAUCACUCUAUAUUGGCUCUAGUCUGUUAAGGGUUGGAUUGGUGAAAUAUCACUCUAUAUUGGCUCUAGUCUGUUAAGGGUUGGAUUGGUGAAACAUCACCCUAUAUUGGCUCUAGUCUGUUAAGGGUUGGAUUGGUGUAAUAUCACUCUAUAUUGGCUCUAGUCUGUUAAGGGUUGGAUUGGUGAAAUAUCACCCUAUAUUGGCUCUAGUCUGUUAAGGGUUGGAUUGGUGAAAUAUCACCCUAUAUUGACUCUAGUCUGUUAAGGGUUGGAUUGGUGAAACAUCACCCUAUAUUGGCUCUAGUCUCUGAAGGGUUGGAU
Pecten maximus is the source of this 1774-nucleotide long non-coding RNA. RefSeq lists it as uncharacterized. Lineage: Eukaryota; Metazoa; Mollusca; Bivalvia; Pectinida; Pectinidae. The transcript has 2 exons. The record is from RefSeq and is a predicted model, not a curated record.